RNAcentral lists this unclassified non-coding RNA (379 nucleotides) under uncultured Gammaproteobacteria bacterium. Its description in RNAcentral is "contains 16S-23S intergenic spacer region". Lineage: Bacteria; Pseudomonadati; Pseudomonadota; Gammaproteobacteria. The record is from RNAcentral.
UCCAGUUUAUCACUGGCAGUCUCCUUAGAGUCCCCACCAUUACGUGCUGGCAACUAAGGAUAGGGGUUGCGCUCGUUACGGGACUUAACCCAACAUUUCACAACACGAGCUGACGACAGCCAUGCAGCACCUGUCUCUAGGUUCCCGAAGGCACACUCACCAUUACGUGAGCUUCCUAGGAUGUCAAGAGUAGGUAAGGUUCUUCGCGUAUCAUCGAAUUAAACCACAUGCUCCACCGCUUGUGCGGGUCCCCGUCAAUUCCUUUGAGUUUUAACCUUGCGGCCGUACUCCCCAGGCGGAGAACUUAUCGCGUUAGCUUCGACACUAAACCCUCAUUGGGGCCCAACAUCUAGUUCUCAUCGUUUAGGGCGUGGACUAC